GUAGUUUGAUCUUGGCUCAGAUUGAACGCUGGCGGCAGGCCUAACACAUGCAAGUCGAGCGGAUGAAGGGAGCUUGCUCCUGGAUUCAGCGGCGGACGGGUGAGUAAUGCCUAGGAAUCUGCCUGGGUAGUGGGGAUAACGUCCGGAAACGGGCGCUAAUACCGCAUACGUCCUGAGGGAGAAAGUGGGGGAUCUUCGGACCUCACGCUAUCAGAUGAGCCUAGGUCGGGAUUAGCUAGUUGGUGGGGUAAAGGCCUACCAAGGCGACGAUCCGUAACUGGUCUGAGAGGAUGAUCAGUCACACUGGAACUGAGACACGGUCCAGACUCCUACGGGAGGCAGCAGUGGGGAAUAUUGG
This 358-nucleotide ribosomal RNA is filed under the name uncultured microorganism. Its description in RNAcentral is "bacterial SSU rRNA". It matches the Rfam family "Bacterial small subunit ribosomal RNA", at positions 9 to 367 of the family's 1533-position model. The record is from RNAcentral.